GGUAUCAUAUUAUAAAUGACUAAAUAGCUACUGUUAUAGUUAGGAAUAAAACUCCUGUGUUAAUCGCAAGUCCUAAUGGAUUUAGCAAAUAAUUAAAAUUUAGUUUUAAAUCAUACGAGCAAGCAAAUGUAGAUAGAUAAACCAUCAUAAUGCAUCAAAGUAGUGAAAUAUUUUGCCAACUUUCGACGACUCUUGAAUGACCACGAAAGAAAAUAUAACGGACAACUUUGCAGUCUUGAAAUUUCUCCCCGCUCCUCCUCUGUUCAGAUUUCUGUUCAGAUUUUUUAGGAGAGGGGGUGAGAGAAACAAAUGGCAAGGAAUGGAGAAUAAAUGCCGGUCACAGGUCUAGCGACGAAAUAGAGUCUUAAGCAGGACUCGUAGAACUCGUCAACUCCGGUGUUCAUGCAAACAAAGAAAACAGAAAAAAGAAGUUAGAGGAGAAAUCUGAUUCUUGAAUAGUGUCUAAGAGAGGAUAAUAGUCGUUUGAAAGUUCUAUUAAUCGUCUCUAGGAACAUGUUACAAAUUAUUCCCAUAAAUAUAUCUCUAAAGAUAAUGCAACAGAAAGAGAAAGCGACUAGGAUUAUUGUUUCACUGUUACUAUAUCAAAU
RNAcentral lists this long non-coding RNA (608 nucleotides) under Solanum tuberosum (potato). Its description in RNAcentral is "long non-coding RNA (STUB_LNC009796)". Lineage: Eukaryota; Viridiplantae; Streptophyta; Magnoliopsida; Solanales; Solanaceae. The record is from RNAcentral.